AUUGAACGCUGGCGGCAUGCCUUACACAUGCAAGUUGAACGGCAGCGCGGACUUCGGUCUGGCGGCGAGUGGCGAACGGGUGAGUAAUACAUCGGAACGUACCCUGUUGUGGGGGACAACUAGUCGAAAGAUUAGCUAAUACCGCAUACGACCUGAGGGUGAAAGUGGGGGACCGCAAGGCCUCACGCAGCAGGAGCGGCCGAUGUCUGAUUAGCUAGUUGGUGGGGUAAAGGCCCACCAAGGCGACGAUCAGUAGCUGGUCUGAGAGGACGAUCAGGCACACUGGGACUGAGACACGGCCCAGAGUCCUACGGGAGGCAGCAGUGGGGAAUUUUGGACAAUGGGGGCAACCCUGAUCCAGCCAUGCCGCGUGAGUGAAGAAGGCCUUCGGGUUGUAAAGCUCUUUCGGACGGGAAGAAAUCGCAUCGGCUAAUACCUGGUGCGGAUGACGGUACCGUAAUAAGAAGCACCGGCUAACUACGUGCCAGCCGCCGCCGUAA
RNAcentral lists this ribosomal RNA (500 nucleotides) under uncultured bacterium. Its description in RNAcentral is "partial 16S ribosomal RNA". It matches the Rfam family "Bacterial small subunit ribosomal RNA", at positions 29 to 523 of the family's 1533-position model. The record is from RNAcentral.